RNAcentral lists this long non-coding RNA (207 nucleotides) under Lotus japonicus. RNAcentral's name for it is "long non-coding RNA (LJAP_LNC001262)". Lineage: Eukaryota; Viridiplantae; Streptophyta; Magnoliopsida; Fabales; Fabaceae. The record is from RNAcentral.
UUUCAAUAUUUUUCACUUUAAAAACAUGCCAGCAAAGUUGAUCGGUUCUUAUCUUUUGUUUCCUGGCAGAAUGUAGUUUGGAAUGAUUUGUUAAAUAUUAAUUCUGUUUGCCAAAAAAAAAUUGUAAUUUUGUAAGGGUAUUUGCUAUGUUCAUUUGGAGGUGGAAUCUACUGCUGUUUCCUAUGAUGCAGGAAUUAUAACUAUUUG